Molecule: ribosomal RNA, 226 nt
Filed under: uncultured eukaryote
Lineage: Eukaryota
Description: partial large subunit ribosomal RNA
Rfam family: Eukaryotic large subunit ribosomal RNA
Source: RNAcentral
AUAUUAAUAAGGGGAGGAAGAGAAACUAACAAGGGUUCCCCCUGUAACGGCGAGUGAAGCGGGAAGAGCUCAAUUUGAAAAUCGACUACCUAAGCGGGUCGUCGAGUUGUAGCCUAGAGACGUACUAUCAGCUGAAACCUGGGUAUAAGUUCUUUGGAAUGAGGCAUCAUAGAGGGUGAGAAUCCCGUAUAUGACCCAAAGCUUUCAGCGUACGAUGUAGCUGUUC